GAUGAACGCUAGCGGCAGGCCUAAUACAUGCAAGCCGAACGGCAAGUCUGAUAGCAAUAUUAGACCUAGAGUGGCGUAAGGGUGCGUAACACGUAUGCAAUCUACCCGCAACAGGAGGAUAGCUCGGGGAAACUCGAAUUAACCCUCCAUAAGAUCUUAGACCGGCAUCGGUUAGAGAUUAAAUCUGAGGAGGUUGCGGAUGAGCAUGCGUCUGAUUAGCUAGUUGGCGGGGUAAUGGCCCACCAAGGCGAUGAUCAGUAGGGGAACUGAGAGGUUGAUCCCCCACACUGGCACUGAGAUACGGGCCAGACUCCUACGGGAGGCAGCAGUAGGGAAUAUUGG
This 342-nucleotide ribosomal RNA is filed under the name uncultured bacterium. RNAcentral's name for it is "bacterial SSU rRNA". It matches the Rfam family "Bacterial small subunit ribosomal RNA", at positions 28 to 367 of the family's 1533-position model. The record is from RNAcentral.